GAAGGCGGCCCGCGGGCUCCGCAGCCUCCGCAGCCUCCGCAGCCUCCGCAGCCGUGGCGCCCGCCCCCCUCCGGGGAGGCCUUCCCCCCUUCGCCCUCCGGCCCUUCGAUGGGGGGCACUUUGCGCGGACGCCCUCCGCUCGCCGCCGCCCCUCCCGCCUCGGAGACUCUCUUCCUUCCUUCCCCUUUUUCCUUACGCAAUAUACAGAAAUGCGCGAGGCGGUGGUUGGUGUUCAUUUCUUCCCGGUGGUUGUGUGCAUGCGGUGGGAUUACUGCCCAGGACCACACCGUGGCCUAGCUGCUGGUCUGUCAGCGAGAGAGGGGGAAAGCAGAGACCCCCGUCCACAACUUGGACCUGGUCUCCCGCCCCUCUCCGGCGGAGUGGAGAUCCUAUUCAGAGGGGCCGGUCUCUCUAAAUAUGCCCCAGGUGAGUUUUGGGGGAAUAGUAUUGGUGGAAACAGUGUCCUGGAGGACCUUGGGUUCCGGCCUGGGGUGGAGGAGGUGUAGGACAGAGGAUUGGGUGAGGGGAGGACAAACCCAGAGCUGGGAAUCUGGGAUCCGUGCCCCUGUGGCUUCUAGCAGGGCCCUUUACCUUUUCGAUCUCGGGUUAAAACACGUAGGUAGCUGGACCUAGUCCCCCAGGCCGCUCCCAUCAGUCCUGGUUCCAUGGGUGUUUCACAAGCCUCCUAACUUUGGGGCGGCUAUAUCCGGGUGGUGCAGGCUGUGUGUGCCCGGGCCGCCGGCAGGAAGAAGGCCCGGCCAUCCUGGCUAGCACAGUCCCAACUCCGGUGGGCCCUGGCCGGGGCCUCCGGCCUAGGGUGGGGCUGUGCUGCAACAGCCUCCACUCCCGUAGUGGCAGGGAGGGUGGCUCUCUUCAUGGGUGAUUUUGGUUCUCGUGCAUGCUUGGGGCUCCCCCAGGGGGUCGUUCGGGUGUGGGUGCAUUAUGAAGGAUAGGGAGCUAGCUAGCUCUUACCCUAGGUACCCGCGGAGGCUGUUUUCCUAUGACAGAUUUUCCCUGCCGGGAAUGGGGAGCUGCCCCGGACCCUGUGCCUGCCCCCUAGGAGCUCCUGGGAUCCUUGUCUUGCUCAGACACAAACGGAAGUGUUGCGGCCAUCUGGCAACAGGGGAUGAGGAUCCGGUGUUGGGGGCUGCGAGCUGGUUCUGGGCCGCACAAAGAGGAGUUGUAAUGGUCAAAUAGUCUAGUGUGAUUCUGUUCAAGAGCUUCUUCCCCCUCUUUCAUCUUCCCCCAAAUAAAAACAAAUGAACAAACA
Molecule: long non-coding RNA, 1270 nt
Filed under: Canis lupus dingo (dingo)
Lineage: Eukaryota; Metazoa; Chordata; Mammalia; Carnivora; Canidae
Description: lncRNA (ENSCAFG00020014521.1)
Source: RNAcentral